RNAcentral lists this long non-coding RNA (1310 nucleotides) under Gopherus agassizii (Agassiz's desert tortoise). Its description in RNAcentral is "lncRNA (ENSGAGG00000002203.1)". The record is from RNAcentral. Lineage: Eukaryota; Metazoa; Chordata; Testudines; Testudinidae.
CGAGAACAUCUUCGGCACCAGGACGGGGGAGUUCUUACCAGCAGCGUUCGGCCCCUCCAUGGCCUUUCAGACAGCCGUCUGUGUCCUCACAGGCGGACAGUGUUUAUGCACUGGACACAGGCAGGCACGUGGUCCUUUUUCAAGACCCUCCUCAACAGGACCAGGGACUGCAGCAGUGGGGGUUCUGGACACCCUGGGCGUACCACCAAGCCCAGGGCCCCCAACGGCUUCCUCCUAGGCCUGUGAUGACUGAGCACAGGGCGCCGGAAGCAUCGCUGUCUCGCCCCGCUCCCUCUCCGGACGGGGAGGGUAGGUCACAACAGCAGGACCCUGAGCUCCCUCCGGAGUCAGAGGCGCGGGCUCAGACAGACCCCCCGCUGGACACUCUCUUGCCAGGGGUCUCCUCAUCGUCGUCUCCCGAUGAGGCUGUGGCGGGCACUUCUUCCACCAGCCCUCCCCCACAGGACCUCAGGGCACACCAGGACCUCCUCAGGCGCGUAGCGCAGAACUUGAAUCUGCAAGCUGAGGAGGUCUCCGAGAUCAAGGAUCCCGUGGCGAGCAUCCUCUCCUCCGAUGCUCUCACCAGGGUCACCCUGCCCUUUAUUCGGACUAUCCAGGCGAACGCCAAUACGAUCUGGCAAUCGCCGGCCUCCAUCCCCUCUGCUGCACGUGGCGUGGAGCGGAAGUACAUGGCUCCCUCCAAGGGCUAUGAGUACCUCCACGUUCACCCAACACCGUGCUCCCUCGUAGUGCAGUCGGUGAACGAGAGGGAGCGUCACGGACAAGAGGCCCCAGCUCCUAAAUCCAAGGAGGCCAGGCGGAUGGACCUCCUCGGCCGCAAGGUCUAUUCGGCGGGGGCCCUUCAGCUCAGGGUUUCCAACCAGCAAGCCCUCCUUAGCCGCUACGCCUUUAACUCUUGGGUGGCAGCGGAUAAGUUUAAAGAGCUGUUGCCCCAGGAGGCGCGUCACGAUUUUGCGGCAAUUCUUGACGAGGGCAAGAAGGUCGCAAGAACCUCGUUGCAGGCCUCCUUGGACGCAGCGGACUCGGCCGCUCGUACCCUCGCCUCAAGGGUCACAAUGUGCCGCAUCUCCUGGCUUCAGGUUUCUGGCCUUCCGCCGGAGCUCCAAUACACCAUCCAGGACUUCCCGUUCGAAGGCCAGGGCCUGUUCUCGGAGAAGACAGACCCCAGACUAAAAAGUCUGAAGGACAAUCGGGUCAUCAGGCGCUCUCUUGGGAUGCACACGCCUGUGACACAACGCAGACCCUUCCGGCCGCAACAACAGCAGCAGCAGCGCCGGCCGUAUCCCCAG